ACAGGUGCUGCAUGGCUGUCGUCAGCUCGUGUUGUGAAAUGUUGGGUUAAGUCCCGCAACGAGCGCAACCCUUAUCCUUUGUUGCCAGCGGUCCGGCCGGGAACUCAAAGGAGACUGCCAGUGAUAAACUGGAGGAAGGUGGGGAUGACGUCAAGUCAUCAUGGCCCUUACGACCAGGGCUACACACGUGCUACAAUGGCGCAUACAAAGAGAAGCGACCUCGCGAGAGCAAGCGGACCUCAUAAAGUGCGUCGUAGUCCGGAUUGGAGUCUGCAACUCGACUCCAUGAAGUCGGAAUCGCUAGUAAUCGUGGAUCAGAAUGCCACGGUGAAUACGUUCCCGGGCCUUGUACACACCGCCCGUCACACCAUGGGA
This 375-nucleotide ribosomal RNA is filed under the name Escherichia coli. RNAcentral's name for it is "bacterial SSU rRNA". It matches the Rfam family "Bacterial small subunit ribosomal RNA", at positions 1034 to 1409 of the family's 1533-position model. The record is from RNAcentral. Lineage: Bacteria; Pseudomonadati; Pseudomonadota; Gammaproteobacteria; Enterobacterales; Enterobacteriaceae.